AUCUUAGCGUUAUGUAUCAUCAAUCACCAGUUAUAGUAUCAAAGGUAUGAGUAUUCCUGUGUACAGAUGAUUUUGUUUUUUUGGUAUUCGAUUUGGUUAUCUCUUCUUAAUUAUUAUUCUUUAAGUUUUUCGCUCUUGGUCACUUUGGCAACGGUUGGCGCAUAGCAAAUCAGCAAUAAUCCGCAGAGUACCAAAGUAGUUCCAGUCCACCACAUCAGAGACGUCGAUUCACCGAAUAUUAGAAAACCCAUGAGAGCCUAUGGGGACAUUUAUUUCUUUGUUAAUAACAAUUUACCACAUGUAAAAGUGUACGUACAGAUAAAACUUUGUGACAUGGAAAUAUCGGAUAACAUCUCGUUUAAUAUUGCAG
Molecule: unclassified non-coding RNA, 370 nt
Filed under: Athalia rosae (coleseed sawfly)
Lineage: Eukaryota; Metazoa; Arthropoda; Insecta; Hymenoptera; Athaliidae
Description: misc RNA ENSAEAG00005008663.1
Source: RNAcentral